CCUACGGGAGGCAGCAGUAGGGAAUCUUCCACAAUGGGCGAAAGCCUGAUGGAGCAACGCCGCGUGGGUGAAGAAGGUCUUCGGAUCGUAAAGUUCUUUUCUAAGGGAAGAAGAAAGUGACGGUACCUUAGGAAUAAGCCUCGGCUAACUACGUGCCAGCAGCCGCGGUAAUACGUAGGAGGCGAGCGUUAUCCGGAAUGACUGGGCGUAAAGGGUGCGUAGGUGGUUUGGCAAGUUAGUAGCGUAACUCCAAGGCUCAACCUUGGAACUACUACUAAAACUGUUGGACUUGAGUGCAGGAGGGGCAACCGGAAUUCCUAGUGUAGCGGUGGAAUGCGUAGAUAUUAGGAGGAACACCAGUGGCGAAGGCGGGUUGCUAGACUGUAACUGACACUGAGGCACGAAAGCGUGGGGAGCAAACAGGAUUAGAUACCCGGGUAGUC
RNAcentral lists this ribosomal RNA (443 nucleotides) under uncultured bacterium. RNAcentral describes it as "partial 16S ribosomal RNA". It matches the Rfam family "Bacterial small subunit ribosomal RNA", at positions 338 to 795 of the family's 1533-position model. The record is from RNAcentral.